GACGAACGCUGGCGGCGUGCUUAACACAUGCAAGUCGAACGGAAAGGCCCUGCUUUUGUGUGGUGCUCGCGUGGCGAACGGGUGAGUAACCCGUGAGUAACCUGCCCUUGACUUUGGGAUAACUUCAGGAAACUGGGGCUAAUACCGGAUAGGAGCUCCUGCUGCAUGGUGGGGGUUGGAAAGUUUUGGCGGUUGGGGAUGGACUCGCGGCUUAUGAGCUUGUUGGUGGGGUAGUGGCUUACCAAGGCUUUGACGGGUAACCGGCCGUGGAGGUUGACCGGCCACAAGGGUACUGAGGUAGGGCGCAGACUCCUACAGUAGGCAGUAGGCGAGAGUAUUGUACAACGGGCGGAAGCCUGAUGCAGCAACGCCGCGUGCGGGAUGACGGCCUUCGGGUUGUAAACCGCAUUCGGCUGUGACCAAGCUUGAGUGACGGUAAUAAGUAAAGAAGCACCGGCUAACUACGUG
Molecule: ribosomal RNA, 468 nt
Filed under: uncultured bacterium
Lineage: Bacteria
Description: partial 16S ribosomal RNA
Rfam family: Bacterial small subunit ribosomal RNA
Source: RNAcentral